RNAcentral lists this ribosomal RNA (497 nucleotides) under uncultured bacterium. RNAcentral's name for it is "partial 16S ribosomal RNA". It matches the Rfam family "Bacterial small subunit ribosomal RNA", at positions 28 to 507 of the family's 1533-position model. The record is from RNAcentral.
GAUGAACGCUGGCGGCGUGCCUAAUACAUGCAAGUCGAGCGAACAGAUAAGGAGCUUGCUCCUUUGACGUUAGCGGCGGACGGGUGAGUAACACGUGGGUAACCUACCUAUAAGACUGGGAUAACUUCGGGAAACCGGAGCUAAUACCGGAUAACAUUUAGAACCGCAUGGUUCUAGAGUGAAAGCUGGUUUUGCUAUCACUUAUAGAUGGACCCGCGCCGUAUUAGCUAGUUGGUCAGGUAACGGCUUACCAAGGCAACGAUACGUAGCCGACCUGAGAGGGUGACCGGCCACACUGGAACUGAGACACGGUCCAGACUCCUACGGGAGGCAGCAGUAGGGAAUCUUCCGCAAUGGGCGAAAGCCUGACGGAGCAACGCCGCGUGAGUGAUGAAGGGUUUCGGCUCGUAAAACUCUGUUAUUAGGGAAGAAAAAAUGUGUAAGUAACUGUGCACGUCUUGACGGUACCUAAUCAGAAAGCCACGGCUAACUACGUG